Chinchilla lanigera (long-tailed chinchilla) is the source of this 939-nucleotide long non-coding RNA. RefSeq lists it as uncharacterized. The record is from RefSeq and is a predicted model, not a curated record. Lineage: Eukaryota; Metazoa; Chordata; Mammalia; Rodentia; Chinchillidae. The transcript is spliced from 3 exons.
UGCGCAUGCGCUUGUGGGCCGGCGUUAGGCUGGAGGAAGCGGAACUGGCCUUGGGCGCCUGAUCUAACUUCUGGAUCUGUUGGAGCAUUAGGGUUUGAGCUGCUCUAGAAGCAACUGAGAUCGUGAUCUCCCAGCCUCGGUUUCCCGGUUUCUGAUUCUCAGCCGGUGUUCAGAGGCGGCUUUGAGGAUUUAAAGAACCCGGAGCAGGGCGGGCCCCACAACAGCUGGAGGAGGGUCUUGCUAAAUUGCCCAGGCUUGCCUUGAACUUGGAACCCUCCUGCCUCAGCCUUGCAAGUGUUGGGAUUACAGGUGUGUACCACCACCUUCGGCUUCUUAACCUCAGCAUUACUGACCUGGAGGGCAUGAACGUUUUUGUAGGGGGACAGUCUUGAGCGCUGUAAGGGGAUGCCUAGCUUAUCUGAUCUCCAGGAUGAUUCACUGCCACCUCAAGCUAUCACACCCCAAAGUCUCUCCACAACACCAGACAUCACCUGGCGACAAGAUGGCCCCAGUUCUGAACAGACCUAGAGCCAAAAAUCAAAAGACAGGUACCUCUGUUAGUUUUCACUAAAUAAGUUUCAAAUUCUUUAACCAUUGUCAUCUGCUAAAAAUGUGUGUAUGAUGUCAUCCUCCACAUAGCCAGUUUGUUAUCUGACAGUACCAAACGGAAAAUGCCAGAGAUAAUUUGUAAGUUACAAAUAAUUUUUAUUUGGUAUAUUACUAUAAUUCUAUUUUAUUAUCUACUGUAAAUCUUACUGUGCCUAAUUCAUCAGUUAAAUAUUAUGUAUGUGUGGGACCAAAUAAAGAGUAUAUGUUAACUAACCCCUAGUACUGAGGUUUUAAAUGGCCCACCAAAUGGUACUGCAUAAUCCUAGCACUUGGGAGGCUGAUGCAGGAGGAUCACUGUAAAUUUGAGGUCAUCCUAGACGACGUAGUGAG